GCUGAUGAGCCUGUGUGAGGUUUUUCUAUUGCUGAAUUAAUUGGAGUAGGAGAUGAGGCAGACACUCAAUGAAUUGUCUGCCUUUCAGAGCACUUUAGUAGAAAAUACACAGAGAUUCGCUCUUAGACACUUCCUCUCCCUUGUCUGGCCUGUUCUCUAGCUGUGCUGGCCCCGUGCCUGCUUUUCCUCUUUCUGGCCACAUGCUUCUUUUGCUCUCGCUCAUCGUGUAUCAUACAGCUUCCUCUUUAUUUCCCCCUCCAUCCCUUUAGCCAGCCCAGAGGACUGAGGACACACCAGCAGAUCCUGGCCACUUUGCAAAAGCAGCUACAUGUGCCUGGGUGAGCAGCAUGCCUGCAGCUCCUGCUGCUUUGGGACAAGGUCCUGGAGGUUUGGGAGACCUGGUUCUUCUGCCAGUAGCUCUGGGAGAGGCUGGAUGGAUCAUACAGCUGUAGCCCAGACGCUAACCUCUUCCUAAGAUGUGGAGCAGAUCUGAUGGCAGGAAGCUGCUUGUUCCAGGAUUCCUGAUGAAGUUCAGGAUCUGAAAGCAGCAGCCAUGCAUCCGUCAGAUUUUUGUAGGUUAGAAAAGGGAGAGAGAUGGGAGGGAGGAAGGGGAGAGGCUGAACUUUUAAUAAUGAAGCUUGUGUAUUUCAAAAAUUAGCAUUAGAAGAGGAAAAAAGAAAAUCUUGUGUUUAAAUUUUUACAUAGUCAACAUUUCCAGACAGUGAUAAAUGCAUUUUGCAACACGCAUUCAGCUAAUGACAGCUACGAUCUUGAUGGAGCUAAGUGGAAAAUACACAUCCUUCACUUUUUUUUUUUUUUUUUUUUUUUUUCUGAUAAGGAAAAAUGUGUGUGUCGGGGGUGUUUCAUUCUGAAGAAGUUGCAAGUGGCUGAGAGCCCGCGGGGGGCACGGCCCCUGC
This 917-nucleotide long non-coding RNA is filed under the name Anas platyrhynchos platyrhynchos (common mallard). RNAcentral describes it as "lncRNA (ENSAPLG00000019488.1)". The record is from RNAcentral. Lineage: Eukaryota; Metazoa; Chordata; Aves; Anseriformes; Anatidae.